GUUGUGUUCGGCACGUGCUGUUAGGUUGCAUCCCUGCUCGAGCAGCGACGUCCUGACCCGCCGCCGUCUCAAUCGCGGGGCAAGCUCAAUAUAGGCUUGGUCCAAGUCGAUUUCCUGUGCUGCAUGCAUUAUCAAGUUUUAUCGAUCGCCUUUCGCCCCUCGUAUUUUGUGCGCGGGGCGAAUCGAAAGGCCGCCCUCGCGUCCCACUCCUCCCUCGCUUCGUCGUGCGGAUCAUGGUCCGCGAGUGGCGGCCCGGAUUCUCGAAUGUGGUAGACUCAGUGGGCAUGGGGCCUUCAUCGUCUCCUAUCUGCCCCGUACGAUGCUCCUUGUAAAUGACGGUCGCGCUCGCCUUGAAUCCAUCUGCGCCCUCGUGGGUAGGCCGGGCUCAUGCGACGCCGCGCGUGGAUGAGGAAUGCUACCUGGUUGAUCCUGCCAGUAGUCAUAUGCUUGUCUCAAAGAUUCAGCCAUGCAUGUGUAAGUAUGAACAAAUUCAGACUGUGAAACUGCGAAUGGCCUGCCAUGGUGGUGUCUUUGUCAAGAUGUUGCUUUUAGGACUCCGCCGGCACCUUAUGAGAAAUCAAAGUUUUUGGGUUCCGGGGGGAGUAUGGUCGCAAGGCUGAAACUUAAAGGAAUUGACGGAAGGGCACCACCAGGAGUGGAGCCUGCGGCUUAAUUUGACUCAACACGGGGAAACUUACCAGGUCCAGACAUAGUAAGGAUUGACAGACUGAGAGGUCUUUGUUGAUUCUAUAGGGCGGUGGUGCAUGGCCGUUCUUAGUUGGUGAAGCGAUUUGUCUGGUUAAUUCCGUUAACGAACGAGACCUCAGCCCGCUAACUAACUAUGCGGAGGUAUCCCUUCGCGGCCAGCUUCUUAGAGGGACUACGGCCUUUUAGGACGCGGAAGCUUAAGGCAAUAACAGUUCUGUGAUGCCCUUAGAUGUUCUAGGCCGCACGCGCGCUACACUGAUGUAUUCGACGAGUUUAUAGCCUUGGCCGACAGGCCAGGGUAAUCUUUGAAAUUUCAUUAUGAUGGGGAUAGAUCAUUGCAAUUGUUGGUCUUCAACGAGGAAUUCCUAGUAAGUGCGAGUCAUUAGCUCGCGUUUACUACGUCCCUGCCCUUUGUACAUACCGCCCGUCGCUCCUACCGAUUGAAUGAUCCGGUGAAAUGUUCGGAUCGCGGCAACGUGGGCGGUUCGCUACCCGCGACUUCGCGAGAAGUCCAUUGAACCUUAUCAUUUAGAGGAAGGACAAGUCGUAACAAGGUUUCCGUAGGUGAACCUGCGAAAGG
RNAcentral lists this ribosomal RNA (1288 nucleotides) under Capsicum baccatum. RNAcentral's name for it is "SSU rRNA". The stretch from base 417 to 1288 matches the Rfam family "Eukaryotic small subunit ribosomal RNA". The record is from RNAcentral. Lineage: Eukaryota; Viridiplantae; Streptophyta; Magnoliopsida; Solanales; Solanaceae.